CAGUGCCCGGGACAUGGUAAGAGCUCUUAUUAAUGUUGGGUGGUUAUUAUUAAUGAUUAUAAUUUUCCACGAAGGAGUGAAGCAUGAGUAAUGGACUCAGUAAUGAAGCCUCAGCUGUCAGAGGGGAGGGGACCCUCCAUGGAUUCUUUCUCUCCUUUGUCUCCUAGGCCAAGUCCUCCUGUUGUCACCUAUCCAUGGACUCUUGUGCGUCUGCAUAGGUGGGUCAUGAGAAAAGACCGAAAGUUACCAAAACUGUAGGACGGGGCACCCCCGUAAGAGAAGGUAACACACAGGGAGAAAGAACUUCUCCCCUGCUGUCAGCAGAACCUGUGGCAGCUCUGGUGCCCUGGAGCUGUCACCCACGAUGGGCAGUUGUGGUCAGGGGCACAGGUGGUGGAACCUGGUGGGCACUGGCCAGACAGCUAAUGGGAUGACUGUUGGCAUUGGGACGUCAUCCUGACCUUCCAGAAAUACCUGGAGACACUUCAGGGGGCUCAAGUCCUGUCUGAGCUGGGGAUGGGGGAAGCCAGGUGCCUUCAGUUUGCCAUCGUUAAUAGGACCACACCUGAACUGACAGCACCUGCUGAGGGACACUGACAGUUUCCACAGGGGAGGAGGAGACCUAGGCCCGGAGCCAUUGAAGGGGACCACUAAAGGCUGCACAGUGGUCGGUGGGGGACCCAGCUCCCUGACUCCCGACGUCAUGCUCUUUCUCUUGCAUCAGGCUGCUCUGGGUGUCUCUGGCAGGACCUGGCCCUGCCUUCUAGGUCAUCACGUACAGUCUCAGGCCUCCUCCCACCUGCCUGCAGUGUAGGCAGAUGCCUUUUGCUUCCUUUUUGUGGUCUGCGUACAUAGACAGACCCUAUCUGCUUGGCGUUGGCCCAUAGGAGUGUUGGAUUUCAGUCUAUGAAUGCAGCCACGGAGGCCCGUGGAAAGGGCCAGAGGUAGUGUGCAAAGGGUCCCAGCCUCAGUAAGAAGGAGCUUCAAGGAUGAACAAAAUGCAGUCCCUUAUCCCAAGGGUCUCCCGUGACAUACCUGCAGGUCUAUGACAAAGUGCCCAGAGGAAACGCUACAGCUGUGCCCAGAGCACUGUGGAGCACAGAGGAGGAGCACCUGCCCAGCUGGGGGUGAGGGGAGCAGAGGGGGCAUUUCAAUAAAGAAUAAUUUUAUGGAGUGACAAGGUGAGAGUGCCUUGAGCAAUGGAAGUUCUGACCAGAGCCUGGAAAACAGAGUUCAGGAUUUCCAAGGCAAGUUACCUAAUCUCUUUACACCUGAGCUGCUUGAUCUGGAAAACGGGGACCACAGCGCCUACUGACAAGAGCACCUCCUCUGGGCUGCAAGAGCAUGAAAUGAGCUAGUCCUUCCUACACGUGCUUAGGACAGUGCCUGCCACACGGAAGUGGAGCGUGCAAUGGAAAGUAAAACCUGCAAGUGCGGCUACAUCUCCUUGGCUAAUCAGCGAGUUUCCACUGCCUGAACUUUCCUCCCAUGCGGUCCCAGGAAGUGUGGGGGGUGUGCGUGAGUGAGAGAGAGAAUUCCAUUACAAAAACAGCAAUGAGCAGGCUGCCACCGUGAGGGAACCUAUCUUUGGCCACUUCCAGCCCCCAGAGCCCCCAUCUGUGGCUUCUGAGACAGAAGA
This is a non-coding RNA of Microcebus murinus (gray mouse lemur), 1639 nucleotides long. NCBI's taxonomy places the organism in Eukaryota, Metazoa, Chordata, Mammalia, Primates, Cheirogaleidae. The record is from RefSeq and is a predicted model, not a curated record.